RNAcentral lists this small nucleolar RNA (132 nucleotides) under Carlito syrichta (Philippine tarsier). RNAcentral describes it as "Small nucleolar RNA SNORA68 (ENSTSYG00000028990.1)". It matches the Rfam family "Small nucleolar RNA SNORA68". Rfam says of the family: U68 is a member of the H/ACA class of small nucleolar RNAs (snoRNAs) which act as guides in the the modification of uridines to pseudouridines. The record is from Rfam by way of RNAcentral. Lineage: Eukaryota; Metazoa; Chordata; Mammalia; Primates; Tarsiidae.
CCGGCACCUCAACCCAAGAACUGCUGUUUCCUGUAGCGGUGGUUUAAACAGGGGUGCACACAGCAAGUGGAUCCCGUCGCCUUUGGGGGCUGUGGCUGUGCCCCUCAAAGUGAAAGUGGAGGUCCCACAUCC